CAAGUCGAACGAUUAAAGCUCUCUUCGGAGAGUGUAUAGAGUGGCGCACGGGUGAGUAACACGUAAGUAAUCUACCUUUGAGUGGGGAAUAACAGUCGGAAACGACUGCUAAUACCGCAUAAUGCAGCGGCAUCGCAAGAUGACAGUUGUUAAAGAUUUAUCGCUUGAAGAGGAGCUUGCGGCAGAUUAGCUAGUUGGUAAGGUAAUGGCUUACCAAGGCUACGAUCUGUAACCGGUCUAAGAGGACGGUCGGUCACACUGACACUGAACAACGGGUCAGACUCCUACGGGAGGCAGCAGUCGGGAAUUUUGGGCAAUGGGCGAAAGCCUGACCCAGCAACGCCGCGUGAAGGAUGAAGUAUUUCGGUAUGUAAACUUCGAAAGAAUGGGAAGAAUAAAUGACGGUACCAUUUAUAAGGUCCGGCUAACUACGUGCCAGCAGCCGCGGUAAUACGUAGGGACCAAGCGUUGUUCGGAUUUACUGGGCGUAAAGGGCGCGUAGGCGGCUUGACAAGUCACUUGUGAAAUCUCCGGGCUUAACUCGGAACGGCCAAGUGAAACUGUCAUGCUAGAGUGCGGAAGGGGCAAUCGGAAUUCUUGGUGUAGCGGUGAAAUGCGUAGAUAUCAAGAGGAACACCUGAGGUGAAGACGGGUUGCUGGGCCGACACUGACGCUGAGGCGCGAAAGCCAGGGGAGCAAACGGGAUUAGAUACCCCGGUAGUCCUGGCCCUAAACGAUGAAUACUUGGUGUCUGGAGUUUAUAGUGCUCCGGGUGCCGUCGCUAACGUUUUUAGUAUUCCGCCUGGGGAGUACGCUCGCAAGAGUGAAACUCAAAGGAAUUGACGGGGACCCGCACAAGCGGUGG
This 865-nucleotide ribosomal RNA is filed under the name uncultured Bacillota bacterium. RNAcentral describes it as "bacterial SSU rRNA". It matches the Rfam family "Bacterial small subunit ribosomal RNA", at positions 58 to 935 of the family's 1533-position model. The record is from RNAcentral. Lineage: Bacteria; Bacillati; Bacillota.